RNAcentral lists this small RNA (29 nucleotides) under Bombyx mori (domestic silkworm). RNAcentral's name for it is "ovarian small RNA-18938". The record is from RNAcentral. Lineage: Eukaryota; Metazoa; Arthropoda; Insecta; Lepidoptera; Bombycidae.
UAACUAAAAUGCAAGUAUACAAUUAUAAA